UUAAAUUUUAUUUAUUAAUUUUUUUUUUAAAAAAUUUUAUUAAUAAAAAUAAUUUUAAUAGUAUAAGUUUUAGUAUUUUAUAAAAAACAAAUAAUUUUUAUUAUAGUUUAUUAGUAUUGUAAAAGAAAAUUGAAAUAAAUUGAAAAAUUUUUAUUAAAAAAGAAAAUUUAAUUUAUUGUACCUUGUGUAUCAGGGUUUAUUAAAUAAAAAAUAUUUAUAAAUAUUUUUUUCGAAUUUUAGAGAUUUAAUUAUAUAAAAAAGUUAUUGUAGUAUAAUUAUUUUAAAUAUAUAAUUAGAAAUGAAAUGUUAAUCGUUCUAAAAUAUAUCUAGUUUUUUAAGAAAUAAAUUUAAUUUAGUUUUAAUUUUUAUUUAUUUAAUUUUUUAAUAAAAUAAAAAUUGAAAAUAAUAUUUUAAGGGAUUAGCUUUAAAAUAAAAUUUUAUAUUUAAUAUUUAAUUUAUAAUAAAUGUAGGCUUAAAAAUAGUUAUCAUUAAUAAGUUUGUUAUAAUUUAUUUUAUAAAAAUAAUUAUUUAUUUGAAAUUAAAUUAUUUAUUAAAAUAUAAAUUUUAAUAUAAAAAAUUUAUAAAUUAUGAUAAAAUUAGUAUAAAUAUAUUUAUUAAUAUAAAUAUUUGAAAGGUUUUAUUAAGGAAUUCGGCAAAUUAAAUAUAUUCACCUGUUUAUCAAAAACAUGUCUUUUUGUAUUUAAUUUAAAGUCUAACCUGCCCACUGAAUUUUAAAGGGCCGCGGUAUUUUGACCGUGCGAAGGUAGCAUAAUCAAUAGUCUUAUAAUUGAAGGCUGGUAUGAAUGGUUGAAUGAGAUAUAUACUGUCUUAAUAAAAUUUAAUUAAAACUUUAUUUUUUAGUUAAAAAGCUAAAAUUUAAUUAAAAGACGAGAAGACCCUAUAGAUCUUUAUUAUUAAAAAUUAUAAAUUAUAAAGAAUAAUUAAAUUUAUAAUUUUAUAAUAAUUUUAUUGGGGUGAUAUUAAAAUUUAAAAAACUUUUAUUAUUUAACACAUUUAUUUAUGGGUAAUUGAUCCUGUUUUAUAGAUUAAAAAUUUAAGUUACCUUAGGGAUAACAGCGUAAUAUUUUUUGAGAGUUCAUAUCGACAAAAAAGAUUGCGACCUCGAUGUUGAAUUAAGAAUUAUUUUUAGGUGUAGAAGUUUAAAGUUUAGGUCUGUUCGACCUUUGAAUUCUUACAUGAUUUGAGUUCAAACCGGCGUAAGCCAGGUUGGUUUCUAUCUUUAAUAAAUUAUUAUAUUGUAGUACGAAAGGACCUAAUAUAAAAAAUAUAAAUUUUAUAAUAAUUGAAUAUUAUUAAUGUUAUU
This 1324-nucleotide ribosomal RNA is filed under the name Chagasia sp. SP54_C. RNAcentral's name for it is "16S ribosomal RNA". The stretch from base 1070 to 1229 matches the Rfam family "Archaeal large subunit ribosomal RNA", at positions 2544 to 2703 of the family's 2987-position model. Lineage: Eukaryota; Metazoa; Arthropoda; Insecta; Diptera; Culicidae. The record is from RNAcentral.